AAAGUCUAGGCUAGAUUUUUCUGGGCGGGCGAAGGUGGUAAACAGUAGUACCCUAUGGUUCGCUGGCCGGACAUCUAGAAGCCGCGUGACCAGGGUGGCCUCAGGAUCAUGUCCUCCCAAUGCAUGAAUAUUGCCCUCCUGACACGCUAGCUCUGGCGGAUCGCUAAUGGGGAGGGUAGACUUUGGCUCCAUAUCAUC
Molecule: ribosomal RNA, 198 nt
Filed under: Triticum aestivum (bread wheat)
Lineage: Eukaryota; Viridiplantae; Streptophyta; Magnoliopsida; Poales; Poaceae
Description: partial small subunit ribosomal RNA
Source: RNAcentral